This 464-nucleotide ribosomal RNA is filed under the name uncultured bacterium. RNAcentral describes it as "partial 16S ribosomal RNA". It matches the Rfam family "Bacterial small subunit ribosomal RNA", at positions 338 to 795 of the family's 1533-position model. The record is from RNAcentral.
CCUACGGGAGGCAGCAGUAGGGAAUUUUCGUCAAUGGGCGCAAGCCUGAACGAGCAAUGUCGCGUGAACGAGGAAGGUCUUCGGAUCGUAAAGUUCUGUUGAAGGGGAAAAAGAGCGGAGAGAGGAAAUGAACUCCGAUUGAUAUUACCCUUCGAGGAAGUCACGGCUAACUACGUGCCAGCAGCCGCGGUAAUACGUAGGUGGCGAGCGUUAUCCGGAAUGAUUGGGCGUAAAGGGUGCGUAGGCGGCCUGUUAAGUCUGGGGGGAAGGGUACCGGCUCAACCGGUACAGGAUCUGGAAACUGGCGGGCUAGAGAGCAGGAGAGGGCGGUGGAACUCCAUGUGUAGCGGUAAAAUGCGUAGAUAUAUGGAAGAACACCAGUGGCGAAGGCGGCCGCCUGGCCUGUUACUGACGCUGAGGCACGAAAGCGUGGGGAGCAAAUAGGAUUAGAUACCCCAGUAGUC